Molecule: ribosomal RNA, 465 nt
Filed under: uncultured Anaerolineaceae bacterium
Lineage: Bacteria; Bacillati; Chloroflexota; Anaerolineae; Anaerolineales; Anaerolineaceae
Description: bacterial SSU rRNA
Rfam family: Bacterial small subunit ribosomal RNA
Source: RNAcentral
CUUAAAUGAAUUGACGGGACCCGCACAAGCAGCGGAGCGUGUGGUUUAAUUCGUUGCUACACGAAGAACCUUACCUGGGUUUGACAUAUAAGUUGUAGGGAACUGAAAGGGACCGACCUUCGGGGAGCUUAUACAGGUGUUGCAUGGCUGUCGUCAGCUCGUGUCGUGAGAUGUUCGGUUAAGUCCGCUAACGAGCGCAACCCUCGCCGUAUGUUACAAGUGUCAUACGGGACUGCCGGUAAAAGCCGGAGGAAGGUGAGGAUGAUGUCAAGUCAGCACGACCUUUAUAUCCAGGGCUACACACACGCUACAAUGGUCUGUACAAUUGGUUGCCAAGCCGCGAGGCGGAGCCAAUCCGUAAAGCAGGCCUCAGUUCAGAUUGCAGUCUGCAACUCGACUGCAUGAAGCCGGAGUUGCUAGUAACCGCAGGUCAGCAAUACUGCGGUGAAUAUGUCCCUGCUCCUU